RNAcentral lists this ribosomal RNA (1556 nucleotides) under Escherichia coli. RNAcentral's name for it is "bacterial SSU rRNA". It matches the Rfam family "Bacterial small subunit ribosomal RNA". The record is from RNAcentral. Lineage: Bacteria; Pseudomonadati; Pseudomonadota; Gammaproteobacteria; Enterobacterales; Enterobacteriaceae.
UUAAAUUGAAGAGUUUGAUCAUGGCUCAGAUUGAACGCUGGCGGCAGGCCUAACACAUGCAAGUCGAACGGUAACAGGAAACAGCUUGCUGUUUCGCUGACGAGUGGCGGACGGGUGAGUAAUGUCUGGGAAACUGCCUGAUGGAGGGGGAUAACUACUGGAAACGGUAGCUAAUACCGCAUAACGUCGCAAGACCAAAGAGGGGGACCUUCGGGCCUCUUGCCAUCGGAUGUGCCCAGAUGGGAUUAGCUUGUUGGUGGGGUAACGGCUCACCAAGGCGACGAUCCCUAGCUGGUCUGAGAGGAUGACCAGCCACACUGGAACUGAGACACGGUCCAGACUCCUACGGGAGGCAGCAGUGGGGAAUAUUGCACAAUGGGCGCAAGCCUGAUGCAGCCAUGCCGCGUGUAUGAAGAAGGCCUUCGGGUUGUAAAGUACUUUCAGCGGGGAGGAAGGGAGUAAAGUUAAUACCUUUGCUCAUUGACGUUACCCGCAGAAGAAGCACCGGCUAACUCCGUGCCAGCAGCCGCGGUAAUACGGAGGGUGCAAGCGUUAAUCGGAAUUACUGGGCGUAAAGCGCACGCAGGCGGUUUGUUAAGUCAGAUGUGAAAUCCCCGGGCUCAACCUGGGAACUGCAUCUGAUACUGGCAAGCUUGAGUCUCGUAGAGGGGGGUAGAAUUCCAGGUGUAGCGGUGAAAUGCGUAGAGAUCUGGAGGAAUACCGGUGGCGAAGGCGGCCCCCUGGACGAAGACUGACGCUCAGGUGCGAAAGCGUGGGGAGCAAACAGGAUUAGAUACCCUGGUAGUCCACGCCGUAAACGAUGUCGACUUGGAGGUUGUGCCCUUGAGGCGUGGCUUCCGGAGCUAACGCGUUAAGUCGACCGCCUGGGGAGUACGGCCGCAAGGUUAAAACUCAAAUGAAUUGACGGGGGCCCGCACAAGCGGUGGAGCAUGUGGUUUAAUUCGAUGCAACGCGAAGAACCUUACCUGGUCUUGACAUCCACAGAACUUUCCAGAGAUGAGAUUGUGCCUUCGGGAACUGUGAGACAGGUGCUGCAUGGCUGUCGUCAGCUCGUGUUGUGAAAUGUUGGGUUAAGUCCCGCAACGAGCGCAACCCUUAUCCUUUGUUGCCAGCGGUCCGGCCGGGAACUCAAAGGAGACUGCCAGUGAUAAACUGGAGGAAGGUGGGGAUGACGUCAAGUCAUCAUGGCCCUUACGACCAGGGCUACACACGUGCUACAAUGGCGCAUACAAAGAGAAGCGACCUCGCGAGAGCAAGCGGACCUCAUAAAGUGCGUCGUAGUCCGGAUUGGAGUCUGCAACUCGACUCCAUGAAGUCGGAAUCGCUAGUAAUCGUGGAUCAGAAUGCCACGGUGAAUACGUUCCCGGGCCUUGUACACACCGCCCGUCACACCAUGGGAGUGGGUUGCAAAAGAAGUAGGUAGCUUAACCUUCGGGAGGGCGCUUACCACUUUGUGAUUCAUGACUGGGGUGAAGUCGUAACAAGGUAACCGUAGGGGAACCUGCGGUUGGAUCACCUCCUUACCUUAAAGAAGC